GGGUUGUGAGGUUAAGCGACUAAGCGUACACGGUGGAUGCCCUGGCAGUCAGAGGCGAUGAAGGACGUGCUAAUCUGCGAUAAGCGCCGGUAAGGUGAUAUGAACCGUUAUAACCGGCGAUUUCCGAAUGGGGAAACCCAGUGUGACUCGUCACACUAUCAUUAACUGAAUCCAUAGGUUAAUGAGGCGAACCGGGGGAACUGAAACAUCUAAGUACCCCGAGGAAAAGAAAUCAACCGAGAUUCCCCCAGUAGCGGCGAGCGAACGGGGAGGAGCCCAGAGCCUGAAUCAGCAUGUGUGUUAGUGGAAGCGUCUGGAAAGGCGCGCGAUACAGGGUGACAGCCCCGUACACAAAAGCGCAUGUGCUGUGAGCUCGAUGAGUAGGGCGGGACACGUGGUAUCCUGUCUGAAUAUGGGGGGACCAUCCUCCAAGGCUAAAUACUCCUGACUGACCGAUAGUGAACCAGUACCGUGAGGGAAAGGCGAAAAGAACCCCGGCGAGGGGAGUGAAAAAGAACCUGAAACCGUGUACGUACAAGCAGUGGGAGCCCCACCACUAAGCCAGUGGUGAACUCCACAUACGCAUCCUUUGCUGAGGAUACGGUUAACGGAGCGAAAGCGACGUUCAACCUCAAAAGAAGCAGAGGGGGCUUAGUGGUGGGGUGACUGCGUACCUUUUGUAUAAUGGGUCAGCGACUUAUAUUCUGUAGCAAGGUUAACCGAAUAGGGGAGCCGGAGGGAAACCGAGUCUUAACCGGGCGUUAAGUUGCAGGGUAUAGACCCGAAACCCGGUGAUCUAGCCAUGGGCAGGUUGAAGGUUGGGUAACACUAACUGGAGGACCGAACCGACUAAUGUUGAAAAAUUAGCGGAUGACCUGUGGCUGGGGGUGAAAGGCCAAUCAAACCGGGAGAUAGCUGGUUCUCCCCGAAAGCUAUUUAGGUAGCGCCUCGUGAACUCAUCUCCGGGGGUAGAGCACUGUUUCGGCUAGGGGGCCAUCCCGGCUUACCAACCCGAUGCAAACUGCGAAUACCGGAGAAUGUUAUCACGGGGGACACACGGCGGGUGCUAACGUCCGUCGUGAAGAGGGAAACAACCCAGACCGCCAGCUAAGGUCCCAAAGUCAUGGUUAAGUGGGAAACGAUGUGGGAAGGCCCAGACAGCCAGGAUGUUGGCUUAGAAGCAGCCAUCAUUUAAAGAAAGCGUAAUAGCUCACUGGUCGAGUCGGCCUGCGCGGAAGAUGUAACGGGGCUAAACCAUGCACCGAAGCUGCGGCAGCGACACUAUGUGUUGUUGGGUAGGGGAGCGUUCUGUAAGCCUGUGAAGGUGGCCUGUGAGGGUUGCUGGAGGUAUCAGAAGUGCGAAUGCUGACAUAAGUAACGAUAAAGCGGGUGAAAAGCCCGCUCGCCGGAAGACCAAGGGUUCCUGUCCAACGUUAAUCGGGGCAGGGUGAGUCGACCCCUAAGGCGAGGCCGAAAGGCGUAGUCGAUGGGAAACGGGUUAAUAUUCCCGUACUUGGUGUUACUGCGAAGGGGGGACGGAGAAGGCUAUGUUGGCCGGGCGACGGUUGUCCCGGUUUAAGCGUGUAGGCUGGUUUUCCAGGCAAAUCCGGAAAAUCAAGGCUGAGGCGUGAUGACGAGGCACUACGGUGCUGAAGCAACAAAUGCCCUGCUUCCAGGAAAAGCCUCUAAGCAUCAGGUAACAUCAAAUCGUACCCCAAACCGACACAGGUGGUCAGGUAGAGAAUACCAAGGCGCUUGAGAGAACUCGGGUGAAGGAACUAGGCAAAAUGGUGCCGUAACUUCGGGAGAAGGCACGCUGACAUGUAGGUGAAGUGAUUUACUCAUGGAGCUGAAGUCAGUCGAAGAUACCAGCUGGCUGCAACUGUUUAUUAAAAACACAGCACUGUGCAAACACGAAAGUGGACGUAUACGGUGUGACGCCUGCCCGGUGCCGGAAGGUUAAUUGAUGGGGUCAGCGCAAGCGAAGCUCCUGAUCGAAGCCCCGGUAAACGGCGGCCGUAACUAUAACGGUCCUAAGGUAGCGAAAUUCCUUGUCGGGUAAGUUCCGACCUGCACGAAUGGCGUAAUGAUGGCCAGGCUGUCUCCACCCGAGACUCAGUGAAAUUGAACUCGCUGUGAAGAUGCAGUGUACCCGCGGCAAGACGGAAAGACCCCGUGAACCUUUACUAUAGCUUGACACUGAACAUUGAGCCUUGAUGUGUAGGAUAGGUGGGAGGCUUUGAAGUGUGGACGCCAGUCUGCAUGGAGCCGACCUUGAAAUACCACCCUUUAAUGUUUGAUGUUCUAACGUGGACCCGUGAUCCGGGUUGCGGACAGUGUCUGGUGGGUAGUUUGACUGGGGCGGUCUCCUCCUAAAGAGUAACGGAGGAGCACGAAGGUUGGCUAAUCCUGGUCGGACAUCAGGAGGUUAGUGCAAUGGCAUAAGCCAGCUUGACUGCGAGCGUGACGGCGCGAGCAGGUGCGAAAGCAGGUCAUAGUGAUCCGGUGGUUCUGAAUGGAAGGGCCAUCGCUCAACGGAUAAAAGGUACUCCGGGGAUAACAGGCUGAUACCGCCCAAGAGUUCAUAUCGACGGCGGUGUUUGGCACCUCGAUGUCGGCUCAUCACAUCCUGGGGCUGAAGUAGGUCCCAAGGGUAUGGCUGUUCGCCAUUUAAAGUGGUACGCGAGCUGGGUUUAGAACGUCGUGAGACAGUUCGGUCCCUAUCUGCCGUGGGCGCUGGAGAACUGAGGGGGGCUGCUCCUAGUACGAGAGGACCGGAGUGGACGCAUCACUGGUGUUCGGGUUGUCAUGCCAAUGGCACUGCCCGGUAGCUAAAUGCGGAAGAGAUAAGUGCUGAAAGCAUCUAAGCACGAAACUUGCCCCGAGAUGAGUUCUCCCUGAGACUUUAGGUCUCCUGAAGGAACGUUGAAGACGACGACGUUGAUAGGCCGGGUGUGUAAGCGCAGCGAUGCGUUGAGCUAACCGGUACUAAUGAACCGUGAGGCUUAACCUUACAACGCCGAAG
Molecule: ribosomal RNA, 3025 nt
Filed under: Salmonella enterica subsp. enterica serovar Poona str. ATCC BAA-1673
Lineage: Bacteria; Pseudomonadati; Pseudomonadota; Gammaproteobacteria; Enterobacterales; Enterobacteriaceae
Description: bacterial LSU rRNA
Rfam family: Bacterial large subunit ribosomal RNA
Source: RNAcentral